Molecule: non-coding RNA, 3026 nt
Organism: Miniopterus natalensis
Lineage: Eukaryota; Metazoa; Chordata; Mammalia; Chiroptera; Miniopteridae
Source: RefSeq, a predicted model, not a curated record
UAAAAUUUAUAUGAAAUUGCAAGGGAUCUGGAAUGCCUAAACAAUCUUGUAAGAGAAAAACAAAUUAAGAAGACUCAAAUUUUCUGAUUUCAAGACUUACUACAAAGCAAUGGCACUUACAUGAGUAUAGAUAUACAGGUCAAUGGAGUAGAAUUGAGAAGUCAGAAAUAAAACCAAGUGUCUAUGGUCAACUGAUUUUCCACAAGGGUGCCAAGACCAUUCAAAGGGGAAAGCAUUUUUUCAACCAAUGGUGCUGGGGCAACUGGGUAUUUACCUGCAAAAGAAUAAAGUUUAAUCCUUAUAGAUAAAAUUAACUAAAAUGUAUCAAAGAUUUAAAUGUAAGAAACUAAAACUGUAAAACUCUUGGAAGAAGAAAACAUAGGACCAUAUCUUUAUGAUCUUGGAUUUGGCAAAGGAUUCUUAUCUAUGUCACCAAGAGUGUGAGCAAAGAAGAAAAAAAAGAUAAAUUGGAUGUCAUCAAAAUUAAAAACUACUGUGCAAGACACUAUCAAAAAAGUAAAACGACAACCCUUAGAAUGAGAGAAAAUGUAAGUCAUAUAUCUGAUAUGGGACUUGUGUCUGGAAUACAUAAAGAACUCAUACAACUCAAUAAGAAAAGACAAAUGACCCAAGGAUGGUAUACAGAUGGGCAGUAAGUACAUAAAAAGAUGCUCAGUGUCAUUAGUUAUCAGGGAAAUGCAAAUCAAAACCAUAGUGAGAUCAAUACCAGUUCACACACUGUAGGAUGGUCAAUCCAAGUCACAUAAUAACAAGUGUUGGUGAAGAAGUGGAGAAAUCAGAACCCUCAUAGGCUACUGCUAGCAUUGGAAAACGGCACAGCCACUUUGGAAAACAGUGUGGCAGGGCUUUUGUAUCUGCCAACCUCCUGUUUUUGAACUAAAUGAAGGGGUUCUGGCCUGGGAAGACCCAUGUGUUCCUUCAGUUGGAUGGGGAAUGAGGACAGUGACUCUGGCGAUCUUGAGAGUAGGAGGGGAUGUUGACCAGGGAGCACCACUGUGGCAGAUCAGAGGAGCAGGAACCGGAGCCUGGGCUGAGUCUGAAAACGGCCCGAUCUAGGCAGUGGCUUCAGAAGGGCUGGAAGUGGAAGAUGGAGGGCCCAGAGGAACCUGCAGACAGUGGGCAGUUGCUGCCCCCUGUUUACAUCUACAGUCCCGAAUAUGUCAGCAUGUGUGAUUCCCUGGCCAAAGUCCCCAAACGGGCCAGUAUGGUACAUUCUUUGAUUGAAGCAUAUGGACUGCAUGAGCAAAUGAGAAUAGUUAAGCCCAAAGUGGCCUCCAUGGAGGAAAUGGCCACCUUCCACACCGAUGCCUAUCUGCAGCAUCUCCAGAAGGUCAGCCAAGAAGGAGAUGAUGAUCAUCCAGACUCCAUAGAAUACGGCCUAGGUUAUGACUGUCCAGCUACUGAAGGGAUAUUUGAUUACGCAGCAGCUGUGGGAGGGGCCACAAUCACAGCUGCCCAGUGCCUGGUUGAUGGAAUGUGCAAAGUAGCGAUUAACUGGUCCGGAGGGUGGCAUCAUGCAAAGAAAGAUGAAGCAUCUGGUUUUUGUUAUCUCAAUGAUGUUGUCCUGGGAAUAUUGCGAUUGCGACGGAAAUUUGACCGUAUUCUCUAUGUGGAUUUGGAUCUGCACCAUGGAGAUGGUGUAGAAGAUGCCUUCAGUUUCACCUCCAAAGUCAUGACGGUGUCCCUGCACAAAUUCUCCCCGGGAUUUUUCCCAGGAACAGGUGAUGUGUCUGAUGUUGGCCUAGGGAAGGGACGGUACUACAGUGUGAAUGUGCCCAUUCAAGAUGGCAUACAGGAUGAGAGGUAUUACCACAUCUGUGAAAGUGUACUGAAGGAGGUAUACAUGGCCUUUAAUCCCAAAGCAGUGGUCUUACAGCUGGGAGCUGAUACAAUAGCUGGGGAUCCCAUGUGCUCCUUUAACAUGACUCCAGUGGGAAUUGGCAGAUGUCUUAAGUACAUCCUUCAGUGGCAAUUGGCAACGCUCAUUUUGGGGGGAGGAGGCUAUAACCUUGCCAACACAGCUCGAUGCUGGACAUACUUGACUGGGGUCAUCCUAGGGAAAACUCUAUCCUCUGAGAUCCCAGAUCAUGAGUUUUUCACAGAAUAUGGUCCUGAUUAUGUGCUGGAAAUCACACCAAGCUGCCGGCCAGACCGCAAUGAGCCCCACCGAGUCCAGCAAAUCCUCAACUACAUCAAAGGGAAUCUGAAGCAUGUGGUCUAGUUGACAAAAAGAAAUCAGGUUUCCAGAGCCAAAGGGCAGUGUCUGUAAUGAAGGCAGCGUGUUUAUUCAAGCAGUGUAUGGAAUUUGUGAUUGCAGGGGAAAUUUGGAAGAAAUUACUUCCUGAAAAUUUCCAAGGGGCACCAAGUGGCACCAAGUGCAGCUGGCCUCCUGCAGUGAACGGGCAAGCACCUGGAGACUCAACUAGGCCUAGACAGUGGGAAAUGUCUGGCCCGUGGGCCAUAUGUGGCCUGUGAAAUCAUUUGGUCUGGCCCUGCCAAGCCUCACCCAAGAGAAGCAUUGUUCCAGCCAUCACAUUAGGGGUGAGUUAAUUAAAUGUUUGACCAAAUAUAGUAGGCUGAUAAUUUUGUAUGGCACGUGAGUGAUGUUAUAAAUACCCAAAUGGCCCUUGGCAGAAAAAUGGUUCCCCUCCCGUAGCCUAGAGGAAGAGUGAGAUUUCCAACAUUUAAAGUGUUUAUUUUUUUAAAAAACCCACAAAUGCCAUUUUUAGUCUUUGAAAAUUAUUUUUAAGCAAAUUGGGGAGAGGCAUUUUAUUUUCUUAAAGGAAACAGAUGGAAGCUGGAAGAAAGUAUGGAUGUUUAGUCAUCAGUUUGUGGGGUAGAGGAGAACUGAGAGGUAGGGUUUGGGCUCAGGACCAACCAGGUGGUGCCUUGUUGAAGGGGAAUGAUAAUAGAUUGGGAGGUGGGAAGAAUUCCACCUCUGUUGUUUUUAGGAUUAUUGUUCUAUUUUGUUUUUAAUAAAACCUUUGAAAACCUAAAAAAAAAAA